Molecule: ribosomal RNA, 253 nt
Filed under: uncultured bacterium
Lineage: Bacteria
Description: partial 16S ribosomal RNA
Rfam family: Bacterial small subunit ribosomal RNA
Source: RNAcentral
UACGUAGGGUGCGAGCGUUGUCCGGAAUUAUUGGGCGUAAAGAGCUCGUAGGCGGUUUGUCGCGUCGACUGUGAAAACCCGAGGCUUAACCUCGGGCCUGCAGUCGAUACGGGCAGACUAGAGUUCGGUGGGGGAGACUGGAAUUCCUGGUGUAGCGGUGAAAUGCGCAGAUAUCAGGAGGAACACCGGUGGCGAAGGCGGGUCUCUGGGCCGAUACUGACGCUGAGGAGCGAAAGCGUGGGGAGCGAACAGG